GAGGAUGUGACGCAAGUGACUUCUGAAAAAGAAAAACAGUGGGAUUUUUUUUAAAGCUUUUCAGCAAUAAUUAAGUAUUGGCUUAAAGGAAAGUUGUGAAAGCCAUAGAAACAAGUGGAAACGAUGAAAAUGUGUGAAACAACUAAAGAAAUAGUACUUUACAACUAAAUACACAUAAUACAAUUAAAAGAUUGAUGGGUAUCUGAAAGUAAUAAAAUCAGUGGUUUGGCAUGAUGUGACCAUGUAAGUGCUCAUUUUCCAUUUUGCAAUCUAUGAAGUACGAAUGUCUGGAUCCAUUAAAAUAUUAAUAACAAUAUGAAAUAUUGAAAAUAACCAUAUUAAAAAAAGGAAAAUCUCUUUGUGUUUCGCUGUGUUAACAUAACUAUGGUCUUUAAAGUACAUUCAGAUUUAGCAUACUGACUCACUUCACCUCAGAAAUCAUUAUGCAUCAGUCUUGCCUGCAUUAGCUGCCUGUAUUUACCAGGUAUUGGAUAUAUACUAAACUUUUCAAGCACACUACUAUUAUGAAGACUGUUAAAACUUCUGUAUGUGACUCAGUGAGUGCAAGAACAAUGGUGUGAAUUAAAGCAAUAUAAAAUUGUUAAAAUAGUUUUACACAAUAUGUGUUAAAGACACACAAGAUGGUUAUUCUAAGUAAUCACUUUAACUCUAAGCAGUAAAAAAACAACACAAAAGAAAAAACAAUAAAAACAAAUAAACCAGUGCACACAGAUCUGCCCCAAAUGUAAUAAAAAAUAAAUAAAUAAACUAUAACAAAGUACAGAAAGAAAAUCUAUAUCAGGACUGCAGAGGAUCAUUACUCUAUCCUCCAUAGGAAUAAGUGGUCUUUGUGUGGUUUAUACAAUUACUGGAUGCUACAUAAACACAUUAUUUACAGGAGUCUCAUUAUCAUUAAAGUCUGUAUAGCACCGUUUAAUCCCAUACAACAUAAUAAUGUUUCGUUUAGUUGAAAUAUUAGUCCUUUGUACACGUCUAAAUCCAAUUAAAUGUAGAGUGGAAGUGACUCAGUUAGGCUCUGCCGUUAGUGAUUAAGGCAUUUAGCUGAUGAAAACACGCCGUCUCUAGAACUUGUGAUAUUAGUCCUAAUUCUUCUGUAUAAUAUUUUUUAAAUACAAAUAAACCUAAAAAUUUGCAGUGAGAAGUUUAGUGGCAGAAAACAGCUGUAUUUCCUUAUUUUGUACUUAAUAAUCUAAUAAUAGUUUGGUGCGAUUAGGCUGAUGCAACUGUAAUUUUCCCUUCUAGAUCUCGGUAUGGAAUUUACAGCCUUAGGAACAGCAAAGAUAUUGUACAGGACCCUCAAACUCCCAAGCCUCUGGUAGAGGACCUGAGCUUGAAGGACCACCCAGAGGGGACAGUGUGGAA
Molecule: long non-coding RNA, 1383 nt
Organism: Astatotilapia calliptera (eastern happy)
Lineage: Eukaryota; Metazoa; Chordata; Actinopteri; Cichliformes; Cichlidae
Source: Ensembl